AUCAGACACAAGACAUAUUCGGAGCGAAUUAAAGAACUGAAUAAUCAAGUUGAGUACCAACAAACCAUCAUAACUCAAAUAAGCCAGGCCUUAUUGUUGUUCAGAAACGACAAAAAGAAUAUGUCGAACGUCUCCCAAGAAAGAAUCGAGGCCGAAAAGUUGAAUUUCAUAGCUAGACAAAAACGACAAUUGUUGCUCUCCGAAAUAGGGCGGCUGAAACAAGAAGAAAAACAAAUAUUGACGAAAUUAGCCAAAGAAACUAAC
This is a long non-coding RNA of Gordionus sp. m RMFG-2023, 264 nucleotides long. RefSeq lists it as uncharacterized. The transcript has 3 exons. Lineage: Eukaryota; Metazoa; Nematomorpha; Gordioida; Chordodea; Parachordodidae. The record is from RefSeq and is a predicted model, not a curated record.